Molecule: ribosomal RNA, 444 nt
Filed under: uncultured bacterium
Lineage: Bacteria
Description: bacterial SSU rRNA
Rfam family: Bacterial small subunit ribosomal RNA
Source: RNAcentral
AACGAACGCUGGCGGCAUGCCUAACACAUGCAAGUCGAACGAGACCUUCGGGUCUAGUGGCGCACGGGUGCGUAACGCGUGGGAAUCUGCCCUUAGGUUCGGAAUAACUUCGGGAAACUGAAGCUAAUACCGGAUGAUGACGUAAGUCCAAAGAUUUAUCGCCUAAGGAUGAGCCCCGCGUUGGAUUAGCUAGUUGGUGAGGUAAAGGCUCACCAAGGCGACGAUCCAUAGCUGGUCUGAGAGGAUGAUCAGCCACACUGGGACUGAGACACGGCCCAGACUCCUACGGGAGGCAGCAGUGGGGAAUAUUGGACAAUGGCGAAAGCCUGAUCCAGCAAUGCCGCGUGAGUGAUGAAGGCCUUAGGGUUGUAAAGCUUUUUUACCCGGGAUGAUAAUGACAGUACCGGGAGAAUAAGCUCCGGCUAACUCCGUGCCAGCAGCCGC